GACGUAGGGCGCGAGCGUUGUCCGGAUUUAUUGGGCGUAAAGGGCUCUUAGGGGGUUUGUUCCGUCGACCGUGAAAACCCGGGGCUCAACUUCGGGCUUGCGGUCGAUACGGGCGGGCUAGAGUUCGGUAGGGGAGACUGGAAUUCCUGGUGUAGCGGUGAAAUGCGCAGAUAUCAGGAGGAACACCGGUGGCGAAGGCGGGUCUCUGGGCCGAUACUGACGCUGAGGAGCGAAAGCGUGGGGAGCGAACAGG
This 253-nucleotide ribosomal RNA is filed under the name uncultured bacterium. RNAcentral's name for it is "partial 16S ribosomal RNA". It matches the Rfam family "Bacterial small subunit ribosomal RNA", at positions 524 to 776 of the family's 1533-position model. The record is from RNAcentral.